GGGGCCGUAGUCUAGCUUGGUAGGAUGCCGGCCUGGGGCGCCGGUGAGCCCGGGUUCAGGGGAAACCCGCCUAAAAAUCCCGGCGGCCCCA
RNAcentral lists this transfer RNA (91 nucleotides) under Thermoproteus sp. Its description in RNAcentral is "tRNA-Pro". It matches the Rfam family "tRNA". Rfam says of the family: Transfer RNA (tRNA) molecules are approximately 80 nucleotides in length. Their secondary structure includes four short double-helical elements and three loops (D, anti-codon, and T loops). Lineage: Archaea; Thermoproteati; Thermoproteota; Thermoprotei; Thermoproteales; Thermoproteaceae. The record is from RNAcentral.